Molecule: small RNA, 582 nt
Filed under: Pan troglodytes (chimpanzee)
Lineage: Eukaryota; Metazoa; Chordata; Mammalia; Primates; Hominidae
Description: processed transcript
Source: RNAcentral
CCCUUUCUAAACCCUGCUUGGCCAUCGAGAGUGUGGGAUCCAAAGUUCAAUUGCAAGGGUUGGGACUCAGCUCUGCCUCCCAUGAGCUGUGAGGCCUCAGCAAUUACUGACUUCUUUGUGCCUUUCCUGCUGUUCUGGUUGUUGUUGUUGAUGAUGACUCUGGGUGCGUGUUCACACGAGGAAGGUGGAGCUUACACAGUGCUUCCCAGCUGGCUCUUUCUAUGUCUGCUCCUCCAAUGACCUGGCAUCCACUUUUUCUCAGAUGUCUCCAAAGAGCAGCGGCUGCAGGCCGUGCAGGCUGCCAUCCUGCUACUGGCCGAUGAGAACAGGGAGGUCCUGCAGACGCUCUUGUGUUUCCUGAACGACGUCGUCAACUUGGUGGAAGAGAAUCAGAUGACGCCCAUGAACCUGGCAGUGUGUCUGGCCCCCUCCCUCUUUCAUCUUAAUUUAUUGAAGAAAGAAAGCUCUCCACGAGUCAUACAGAAGAAAUAUGCCACCGGGAAGCCAGAUCAAAAGGACCUCAACGAGAAUCUGGCAGCAGCUCAGGGGCUAGCGCACAUGAUCAUGGAAUGCGACAGACUU